This 470-nucleotide ribosomal RNA is filed under the name uncultured bacterium. RNAcentral describes it as "bacterial SSU rRNA". It matches the Rfam family "Bacterial small subunit ribosomal RNA", at positions 774 to 1235 of the family's 1533-position model. The record is from RNAcentral.
AGUAAAUAGAUACCCUGGUAGUCCACGCCGUAAACGAUGAGUACUAGGUGUAGGAGGUAUCGACUCCUUCUGUGCCGCAGUUAAACACAAUAAGUACUCCGCCUGGGAAGUACGGUCGCAAGAUUAAAACUCAAAGGAAUUGAACGGGGGCCCGCACGAAGCAGCGGAGCAUGUGGUUUAAUUCGAAGCAACGCGAAGAACCUUACCUAGACUUGACAUCUCCUGAAUAGUGUAGAGAUACAUGAAGCCCUUCGGGUCAGGAAGACAGGUGGUGCAUGGUUGUCGUCAGCUCGUGUCGUGAGAUGUUGGGUUAAGUCCCGCAACGAGCGCAACCCUUAUUACUAGUUGCUACCAUUAAGUUGAGCACUCUAGUGAGACUGCCCGGGGUUAAACCCGGGUAGGAAGGCGGGGGAUGGACGUCAAAUCAUCAUGCCCCUUAUGUCUAGGGCAACACACGUGCUACAAUGGUG